This 81-nucleotide transfer RNA is filed under the name Echinostoma caproni. It matches the Rfam family "tRNA". Rfam says of the family: Transfer RNA (tRNA) molecules are approximately 80 nucleotides in length. Their secondary structure includes four short double-helical elements and three loops (D, anti-codon, and T loops). Lineage: Eukaryota; Metazoa; Platyhelminthes; Trematoda; Plagiorchiida; Echinostomatidae. The record is from Rfam by way of RNAcentral.
GGCCUCGUAGCUCAGCUGGCAGAGCAUGCGCGUACAAACAUAGGGGGCGUCCAUGCGUGAGUUCGAAUCCCACCGAGGCUA